CAGCAGCCACGGUAAUACGUAGGUGGCAAGCGUUGUCCGGGAUUAUUGGGCGUAAAGGGCUCGCAGGCGGUUUCUUAAGUCUGAUGUGAAAGCCCCCGGCUCAACCGGGGAGGGUCAUUGGAAACUGGGAAACUUGAGUGCAGAAGAGGAGAGUGGAAUACCACGUGUAGCGGUGAAAUGCGUAGAGAUGUGGAGGAACACCAGUGGCGAAGGCGACUCUCUGGUCUGUAACUGACGCUGAGGAGCGAAAGCGUGGGGAGCGAACAGGAUUAGAUACCCCGGUAGUCCCUGUCUCUUAUAC
This 301-nucleotide ribosomal RNA is filed under the name uncultured bacterium. RNAcentral describes it as "partial 16S ribosomal RNA". It matches the Rfam family "Bacterial small subunit ribosomal RNA", at positions 509 to 807 of the family's 1533-position model. The record is from RNAcentral.